UUGGACUUGAUGAUCUCAGAGGUCCUUUCCAACCCGGCUGAUUCUAUGAUUCUGUGAUUCUGUGAUUCCCGGGCUACACCGACCCGCGCUGCCCCCGAGCAGCUUCCUCGCCGAGCGCCCGCAAGAGCACAACAAUCAUUCAGAAUCCAAAGUGGAAGAAUCUAGCAUACUGUCACCUGCUGAAUCAUCUGAGGACCAGACACCUGUAGUUGAAUCCCCACCAUCACUGGAUGACUUACCUGCGUUUAAAACACCAGCUGUCUGUAGUGGAAUUGCCAGUGUCUGCAGAUGAGCUGAUUAUUGAGAAACUACCACGUUCUGAGGACCAGUUACCGCUCAUUGAAUAGUCCACAUCCAGGGAAAGCUCACCUGACAUCGGAUCAUCUGUGGGUGAACUGUCAAGUUUUGAAGUCAAGAUAUACAUGUCUGACUCCACACAGGAUGGUAACAGAUCUGAGGCUGCAGCAGCAGCAGCAGAGACUGCAUAUGAAACACCAGAGCCAACGAUAUUUGAAAAUGCCUAUCAAAUGUCCAUCGAUUAUGUGGAGAAACAUAACAUUAUGCAGAUAUUUCAGGAGAUCACAGAAAAAUUGGUGUACUCUAAACCUGAUGACCCCUUGAAGUUCAUACUGAUGGAGGUGCAGUCUAUGAUAGAAGCCAGGCAGGCAGAAAUGGAGAGAAUAUCAGAGGAGAACAAAGAUGUGCAAGUGCUCUAAUUUCCUGAUGGAUGGCAAUGUAUUCCCAAAUGACUGUCUCUAUGACUAUGAAGAGAACGCCAUAGAAACUUCAUCUAUCUAUUUUUAGCUAAAAGUCUGAUGAUUAGGUUGUGUGAUUCUCUGCAGCACAGCUUGGGCCCGAAAAGUCUGGGAAUAACAGACGCAAGUAUUUGACAUACAAAUUCCAUGUCUGAGAAGAGUUUCUUUUUUAUCUAAGGUUCUCAAAAAAAAAAAAAAUCAGUAACUCAUAUUUUUCCAGGUUAAAGGUAGGUAAGCACCCAUCAUUCUUAGAGCAGGGAGGUUUUUAAGGUUAUUUUGAGCCUAGGAGUGGCUCAAGAUUCAGAUUCAAUCUUUGUUGGUUUUGUAAGAACAAGCAUUGAGGCCAUGUUGCUGAGAACACAGCUGCACUGGGCAGGGCAUGUCUCAAGGAUGAAGGACCACCGCCUCCCGAAGAUCUUGCUUUAUGGUGAACUUGCCACCGGCUGCCACAAGAGAGGAGCCCCAAAGAGAAGAUACAAGGACUCCCUGAAACAACAUCUCAGCCUCGGCCAUAUUGAUCAACAUAACUGGUCUACUCUGGCCUCCAACUGGGAGGUCUGGAGACACACCAUCUAUAACGCUGCUGAUG
RNAcentral lists this long non-coding RNA (1344 nucleotides) under Manacus vitellinus (golden-collared manakin). RNAcentral describes it as "lncRNA (ENSMVIG00005011644.1)". The record is from RNAcentral. Lineage: Eukaryota; Metazoa; Chordata; Aves; Passeriformes; Pipridae.